UUGGCCUAGGUCUACGACGUACGAGUUGAAUUCGAUCGUCGUCAGGAUGAACGCUAGCUACAGGCUUAACACAUGCAAGUCGAGCGGAACUUCUUCGGAAGUUAGCGGCAGACGGGUGAGUAACACGUAUCCAACCUUUCCCGUUACUCGGGUAUAGCCUCGGGAAACUGAGAGUAAUCCCCGAUGAAGUGUACGAUAAGCAUUUUUUGCACACCAAAGAUUUAUCGGUAAGGGGUGGGGAUGCGUUCCAUUAGGUAGUAGGCGGGGCAACGGCCCACCUAGCCGAUGAUGGAUAGGGUUCUGAGAGGAAGGUCCCCCACAUUGGAACUGCGACACGGUCCAAACUCCUACGGGAGGCAGCAGUGAGGAAUAUUGGUCAAUGGUCGGAAGACUGAACCAGCCAAGUAGCGUGCAGGAUGACGGCCCUAUGGGUUGUAAACUGCUUUUGUGCGGGAAUAACGUUGCGUUCGUGAACGCAAGUGCAUGUACCGUACGAAUAAGGAUCGGCUAACUCCGUGCCAGCCGCGGC
Molecule: ribosomal RNA, 529 nt
Filed under: uncultured bacterium
Lineage: Bacteria
Description: bacterial SSU rRNA
Rfam family: Bacterial small subunit ribosomal RNA
Source: RNAcentral